This 446-nucleotide ribosomal RNA is filed under the name uncultured Roseobacter sp. Its description in RNAcentral is "bacterial SSU rRNA". It matches the Rfam family "Bacterial small subunit ribosomal RNA", at positions 11 to 507 of the family's 1533-position model. The record is from RNAcentral. Lineage: Bacteria; Pseudomonadati; Pseudomonadota; Alphaproteobacteria; Rhodobacterales; Roseobacteraceae.
GUUUGAUCCUGGCUCAGAUUGAACGCUGGCGGCAGGCCUAACACAUGCAAGUCGAGCGCACCUCGGGUGAGCGGCGACGGGUUAGUAACGCGUGGGAACGUACCCUUUUCUAAGGAAUAGCCACUGGAAACGGUGAGUAAUACCUUAUACGCCCUUCGGGGGAAAGAUUUAUCGGAGAAGGAUCGGCCCGCGUUAGAUUAGAUAGUUGGUGGGGUAACGGCCUACCAAGUCUACGAUCUAUAGCUGGUUUUAGAGGAUGAUCAGCAACACUGGGACUGAGACACGGCCCAGACUCCUACGGGAGGCAGCAGUGGGGAAUCUUGGACAAUGGGCGCAAGCCUGAUCCAGCCAUGCCGCGUGAGUGAUGAAGGCCUUAGGGUCGUAAAGCUCUUUCGCUGGGGAUGAUAAUGACAGUACCCAGUAAAGAAACCCCGGCUAACUCCGUG